Molecule: long non-coding RNA, 904 nt
Organism: Theobroma cacao (cacao)
Lineage: Eukaryota; Viridiplantae; Streptophyta; Magnoliopsida; Malvales; Malvaceae
Source: RefSeq, a predicted model, not a curated record
UGCAAUGGCUAAAAUGUAACAAUCGAAUAGUCGCAUGGUUGCUGGAAUCGAUUUCUCCUCUAAUUGCAGCAACGAUUUUCUACAUCAACUAAACGGCACAAAUUUGAGAGGUUCUGAAGAAGCAUUUUGCUCAGCCUAAUGAUUCACGGAUCUGUAAUCUCCAGUUUAUUCUUUCCAAUGUCACACAAGUGGAUGCUUGCUGGCUUGGGGGAAGACGUUGGGGGGGUUUCUGUUUUUCAGGUGAAGACUUCCUGUCGCUGUGGUUGUGUUGUUGAGGCUCAGUUGGGAGGAUGCUUCUUGCGGGGUUCUCCUGGCCUCUGAUGGUGUUUCGUUUUUGUUGAUGUCAACUUUGCGACAGCUGGUUGUUUCCUUGUUGCUCUUGAUGUUGCUCGACCUGGUGUGGUGACUGCUGUUGUUCUCUCCAUGGAUGGCUACCGUUUCUCCUUUAUGUUGGCUGGUUCCUAAAGGGGUAAUGGUCUUUCUUGUUUGGUCUCCUGCUUGUUCCGGAAGAAUUCAAUAUGUGGUUGCCGCUUACUUGCUUGCCUUUUCGGUUUGGUUUCUCCUAGAUUGCCCUACUUAGCUUAUAUCGAGACUUGGAGGUUGUCCAACGCCUCCAAUUGAACCGAAGGCUCCUGUUGCGGGGUUGUGUUGUCCAAUACCUUUCAUUGUUGACGCAUCUAUGGCUGCUCCUAGCAAGUUUCGCUUUUCACUCUGCUUGCGGCCUGGAUUAUUUAUGUGCAUUUUGGGCGCUUUUCUCCUUCUUCAUGGCUGCUUGGGUCGUUUCUCCUUGAUUUCUUUGGGUCCUUUUUUGUGGCUGAGUUACUUUUGUAUAGGUUGCCUUUUCCUUGGUUACGAGCAAAAUGCUCUGUUUUUGUGUGGUAUAAAUAGGUUCCUUUUCUUGUAA